Molecule: long non-coding RNA, 352 nt
Organism: Marmota monax (woodchuck)
Lineage: Eukaryota; Metazoa; Chordata; Mammalia; Rodentia; Sciuridae
Exons: 2
Source: RefSeq, a predicted model, not a curated record
AGGAGAAUGGUCUCAAACUUUUUAAACUGUGACUCAGAACAAAAUAUAUUUUACAUAGUGGCUGAGAAACACACGUUAUCAGUAGAUAAAACAGCAAGGUUUCCAGUAAGUUGCUGAGACUGACCUUGAAUUUGUGAUCCUCCUGCCUUGGUCUCUUGUAUGAUACCACACCUGCCUUCGGUGUUUCAAUGUUCCCAACACAAAGAAAUGACAAAUGUCUGAGGUGACAGAUAUGCUGAUUUCCCUGAUUUGAUCAUUACAUGUUGUAUACAUGUAUUAAAAUGUCACAAUGUCCCCCUUAAAUAAGUAUAAUUACUAUGUGUCAAUAAUAAAAAUGUAGUUUUUAAAAUGU